Long non-coding RNA from Cydia strobilella, 202 nucleotides. RefSeq lists it as uncharacterized. NCBI's taxonomy places the organism in Eukaryota, Metazoa, Arthropoda, Insecta, Lepidoptera, Tortricidae. The record is from RefSeq and is a predicted model, not a curated record. The transcript has 2 exons.
AUAGUUUUUUUUUUUUUUUUUUUUUUUUUUAUGGUAGGAGAGGCAAACGAGCAGACGGAUCACCUGAUGGUAAGCGAUUACCGCCGCCCAUGGACACCCGCAACACCAGAGGGGUUGUAAGUGCGUUGCCGGCCUUUAAGAUGGGAGUACGCUCUUUUCUUGAAGGUUUGAAGGUCGUAUCGGUCCGGAAAUACCGCAGGCA